AUCGACCGGCUGGAGAACAUCUCUUCAGCCCGCAAGUGGAGGCUCCGAACUCCCACCUGACGGUCCCCGGGACCGCGGGUCAACGGUCAGGCUGCGCCCCCGCGGAAUGUCGCGUCGGUGCUCCCGGUCUUUGAGGAGCCCCGCCUGUGUCCGUGAGGGGCUUUUUGU
Molecule: non-coding RNA, 168 nt
Filed under: Streptomyces sp. WMMB 714
Lineage: Bacteria; Bacillati; Actinomycetota; Actinomycetes; Kitasatosporales; Streptomycetaceae
Description: Streptomyces RNA 1601
Rfam family: Streptomyces RNA 1601
About the family: Identified by deep sequencing of transcriptome at the end of exponential growth phase. Appears longer on northern blot than sequencing transcript.
Source: Rfam by way of RNAcentral